This 73-nucleotide transfer RNA is filed under the name Ailuropoda melanoleuca (giant panda). It matches the Rfam family "tRNA". From Rfam's summary of the family: Transfer RNA (tRNA) molecules are approximately 80 nucleotides in length. Their secondary structure includes four short double-helical elements and three loops (D, anti-codon, and T loops). The record is from Rfam by way of RNAcentral. Lineage: Eukaryota; Metazoa; Chordata; Mammalia; Carnivora; Ursidae.
ACCUGGGUGGCUCAGAUGGUAGAGCAUGUGACUCUUGAUCUCAGGGUUGUGAGUUCAAGCCCCACACUGGGCA